This 497-nucleotide ribosomal RNA is filed under the name uncultured bacterium. RNAcentral describes it as "partial 16S ribosomal RNA". It matches the Rfam family "Bacterial small subunit ribosomal RNA", at positions 28 to 507 of the family's 1533-position model. The record is from RNAcentral.
GAUGAACGCUGGCGGCGUGCCUAAUACAUGCAAGUCGAGCGAACAGACGAGGAGCUUGCUCCUCUGACGUUAGCGGCGGACGGGUGAGUAACACGUGGAUAACCUACCUAUAAGACUGGGAUAACUUCGGGAAACCGGAGCUAAUACCGGAUAAUAUAUUGAACCGCAUGGUUCAAUAGUGAAAGACGGUUUUGCUGUCACUUAUAGAUGGAUCCGCGCCGCAUUAGCUAGUUGGUAAGGUAACGGCUUACCAAGGCAACGAUGCGUAGCCGACCUGAGAGGGUGAUCGGCCACACUGGAACUGAGACCCGGUCCAGACUCCUACGGGAGGCAGCAGUAGGGAAUCUUCCGCAAUGGGCGAAAGCCUGACGGAGCAACGCCGCGGGAGUGAUGAAGGUCUUCGGAUCGUAAAACUCUGUUAUUAGGGAAGAACAAAUGUGUAAGUAACUAUGCACGUCUUGACGGUACCUAAACAGAAAGCCACGGCUAACUACGUG